RNAcentral lists this unclassified non-coding RNA (2175 nucleotides) under Hevea brasiliensis (rubber tree). The record is from RNAcentral. Lineage: Eukaryota; Viridiplantae; Streptophyta; Magnoliopsida; Malpighiales; Euphorbiaceae.
UCCACCACCACCACCACCACCACCUGUCAAUCUGCUACCCAAAGCUGCCAAUGCUGAAAGAAAGUCUCCAUGUUGUCCUUCCUUGCCGCCGCCACCACCACCACUCCCAAUGAGGCCACUAGUCAGAGCGGCCUCUGCUCCAAAAACUUCUGCAAUUGUAGAAUUCUAUCACUCCUUGAGAAAGCAAGAGGAGAAGAGAGAUAUUCCAGGACCAGGGAAUCAGUAUAAACCAGCCGUGACAAGUGCACACAGCAGCAUAGUUGGAGAGAUUCAAAAUCGUUCAGCUCAUCUGUUAGCUAUAAAAGCUGAUGUCCAAACAAAAGGUAAUUUCAUCAAUGGACUUAUCCAAAAAGUAUUAGCUGUGGCAUAUACAGAUAUUGAAGAUGUCCUUAAAUUUGUGGAUUGGCUUGACGGUGAACUCUCAACAUUGGUAUUUCCAAAUCAUUUCCAUCCUUCUUUUCCCCCUUUUUGUUAGCUUCGGAUUUAGUUGCUGGUAGAAGGUUGCUUGUUGUCCCAAAAUUUAUUACUGUUCUAUGGCAUGUAAAAUAUGCACCCUAUUCAUCUGUAACAGUUAAAACUGGUAGUCCAAAGUCUAUCCCAAACCUAAAGCAUUAAGGAAAUCGUGUCUCAGACUAAGACCGUAAAUCAACUUCUCCUAUUCUAUUUAUUGAACUUAUUUUAUUCCAUAUUCUAAAUUUGCAUUCACAAUGAACUUUUCCAUUGAGUUUGUCCCGCAAACAACUUUCCAAUUUCUUUAUAAUUUGCAUUAUUAGAUAUCAUAGAAAGCUAGCUAACCCUUCUCUUGUAGACUGUGAAGCGUAAAAUCACUAGAGUCAAUCAGCAAGUACUUGCUGACAGAUGUGGCUCCUUCAAUUUUUCAGUUGAACUUUUUAUUGGCUUAGUGCAGAUAAAUUAAACUCACAUCCCUUGUAAGAAACCUGUUUUAGGAUGCAUUGAGUGUGAUUUAUUUUGCUAUUUUUAUUUUCCACCAAAUAAUUAAUGAUGGCCAAGGAAAAAAUUCUCUCUCUAGAAAAGUUUUUCACGAGAGUCUCCUGAUAUGACCUGAGCUAAUUAGGCAUAACGGCAAUGAGAAGGAGAUAUAACAAAGAGGAGGAAAAAAAUAUUGAGAUAAAAGAGGGAGAAUAGAAAUUGAGGAGAUUUUAGAAAAAUCUUUGUUAUUGAUCAAUGCCCUUACAAGUGGUACACAUUCUAUUUUAUGGCUAGUACUCAGGGUCACUACAUCUCCGAUGAAUAUUAUUGGAGUUAUGUUUGUACAAGAUACAACAAAAUAAGGUUUUGGUUAGGUUUGGAAUGGGAGAGUUGUAAAAUGGUGACACAGAAUGCUCUAGAACGUCCCCUUUUUUUUUCCUCAGUAUUUAGCCUGUAUUCUGUUUUUCCUGCAGGCUGAUGAGCGGGCUGUGUUAAAGCAUUUCAAUUGGCCAGAGAAGAAAGCUGAUGCCAUUAGAGAAGCGGCUAUUGAGUAUCGUGCACUGAAACUAUUAGAAAGUGAGAUAUGUUCCUUUAAAGAUGAUACUGACAUUCCAUGUGGAACUGCCUUGAAAAAGAUGGCUGUCUUGCUUGACAAGUAAGAAUAUUAUGCUGCAAUGAAUUUAAUUGUUUGUGCAUUCAAGCAUAUGCCCUUUAAACUGUCAUUUUGUUGCCUUUCUGGCCUGUCUUCUGAUCAUAUAAGGUCUGAGCGAAGCAUUGGAAGGCUGACCAAACUUCGAAACUCAGUUUUGCGCUCUUACGAGGAUUGGAAAAUUCCAACAAAUUGGAUGCUUGAUUCUGGAAUAGUGAGCAAGGUAUGCUUUUCUACAUGGUUUUCCUGUUGAAUGAAUUCAACCAGGUUGUUUAGCAUGUUAUAUUUGAAGUUCUAUGUUUGUGUUGGGAGAUCUUAAUUCUUUAGAACUUGUAGUUAUGUCUUUAUUCUGAUCAACUUGUAAUUGUUUUUAAACAAUGGUCAUCUCUGCUUCAGCAUUGCACAUCAUAGUGUGCAUUUAUGAUGAAUUAAUAGUUAAUGAUGAUGCCAUACAGAUCAAGCAUGCUUCUAUGAAGCUGGCGAAGAUGUACAUGAGGAGAGUGAUAAUGGAGCUUGAAUUGGCGCGAAAUUCAGAUAGGGAAUCCAAUCAAGAAGCAUUGGUCCUUCAAGGUGUGCACUUUGCAUAUAGGGCACAU